AGUGAGGCCACACAGGGCUUUUGAGGCUGAUCCUACACAGUCUCCAAAUGCCGGCACAUCUCCAGUCUUGCAGUUUUGAGAAAUACCUGCCAUAGACUCUCCCAGGACCUGGACGGAACAAAGGAGCAGGCCUACCUUGGAGUUCUCCAUCACACUCUCAAUGCAGUCGAAGUAGGAGAGGUCGCUGACCGGCUCGCUGGGAUUGUCCAGCAUUCCUCUGACAGCCUGGGAGAUGAGUGAGCAAUAUGAGUCUAAUGUUUCACAGUUCUCUCAGGGCGUUGUCACACUCAUUCUGGCCAGGAGCCUGCUGUGUACACAGCGUGAUCAGCUGGUUAAUGCUGUCAGUCACUGAUCUGAAACAAGCAAACAAACAGAAAAAAUAAAUAAAUCACAACCUGGUAAUUGAACGUGUAUGGUCUGAGUGGUGACAUUUGAAUUGAUAUGCAUUUAAAAAGUGCUAGUGCCGUCUGAACUAAAUGAAAGAGAAAAGGCUGGUAGAGCCCUAUUUAUACACAACCAACAAGACCGACCUGAGUG
Long non-coding RNA from Perca fluviatilis (European perch), 537 nucleotides. RefSeq lists it as uncharacterized. Lineage: Eukaryota; Metazoa; Chordata; Actinopteri; Perciformes; Percidae. The transcript has 4 exons. The record is from RefSeq and is a predicted model, not a curated record.